Molecule: unclassified non-coding RNA, 220 nt
Filed under: rhizosphere metagenome
Description: partial ribosomal RNA internal transcribed spacer region
Source: RNAcentral
GUAGGUGAACCUGCGGAAGGAUCAUUACAGAGUUCAUGCCCCUCGGGGUAGAUCUCCCCACCCUUGUGUAUCAUUAUAGAAUGUUGCUUUGGCGGGCCGCGUUUCGGCGCCUGGAUUCGCGUCCAGCGUGCCCGCCAGAGGACCCCUAAACUCUGAAUGUUAGUGUCGUCUGAGUACUAUUAAAUAGUUAAAACUUUCAACAACGGAUCUCUUGGUUCUG